CUUGGGUCCGGCAUAACCCCGGGAAACUGGGGAUAAUUCCGGAUAACGCACAUAUGUUGAAAUGCUUUAUGCGUAAAAUGGAUUCGUCUGCCCAAGGAUGGGUCUGCGGCCUAUCAGGUAGUAGUGGGUGUAAUGUACCUACUAGCCUACAACGGGUACGGGUUGUGAGAGCAAGAGCCCGGAGAUGGAUUCUGAGACAUGAAUCCAGGCCCUACGGGGCGCAGCAGGCGCGAAAACUUUACAAUGCGGGAAACCGUGAUCAGGGGACACCGAGUGCUAGCAUCAUAUGCUGGCUGUCCAGGUGUGUAAAAUACACCUGUUAGCAAGGGCCGGGCAAGACCGGUGCCAGCCGCCGCGGUAACACCGGCGGCCCGAGUGGUGAUCGUGAUUAUUGGGUCUAAAGGGUCCGUAGCCGGUUUGGUCAGUCCUCCGGGAAAUCUGAUAGCUCAACUAUUAGGCUUUCGGGGGAUACUGCCAGACUUGGAACCGGGAGAGGUAAGAGGUACUACAGGGGUAGGAGUGAAAUCUUGUAAUCCCUGUGGGACCACCUGUGGCGAAGGCGUCUUACCAGAACGGGUUCGACGGUGAGGGACGAAAGCUGGGGGCACGAACCGGAUUAGAUACCCGGGUAGUCCCAGCCGUAAACGAUGCUCGCUAGGUGUCAGGCAUGGCGCGACCGUGUCUGGUGCCGCAGGGAAGCCGUGAAGCGAGCCACCUGGGAAGUACGGCCGCAAGGCUGAA
This 741-nucleotide ribosomal RNA is filed under the name uncultured Methanosarcinaceae archaeon. RNAcentral describes it as "SSU rRNA". It matches the Rfam family "Archaeal small subunit ribosomal RNA", at positions 114 to 853 of the family's 1478-position model. Lineage: Archaea; Methanobacteriati; Methanobacteriota; Methanomicrobia; Methanosarcinales; Methanosarcinaceae. The record is from RNAcentral.